This 465-nucleotide long non-coding RNA is filed under the name Gallus gallus (chicken). The record is from RNAcentral. Lineage: Eukaryota; Metazoa; Chordata; Aves; Galliformes; Phasianidae.
GGCAUACAUGGAGUGGCAAGGCGAUCCAAGUGGGCCAUGAUCACAACAGCUGUUUGUCUCAGAUCAAUUGCUAGUUCAUUGUCCUGGGGUAAAGUCAGAUACCUAAGAAAACUUUCAUUUGGACUCAGAGGAUAGGUCAGCAGCUGAAUCUCUUCCUCAGAAUUGGGCAUGUCUUUAUUACACACUAUACUCUGAAAUCUUUGUAACAAAGGUAGAAGGGGUGCACUUGUUCCCUGUGCAGAUCGCUCAUUAUCAGUUUCCCUUGUUCCAUUAUCCCAAAGCUGAAGCAACAACAUAACUGCAGACAACAUUUGGCUUAGCGUACCCCUCUGCACUGCCAGUUCUAGCAAUAUAGCAAGCGCCAAGUGCUGGUCUUGCAAUGGAAUGUUCCCUGGUCCUUUGGUACUGGGAGCUCCAUGCACAUCUCCAGUCACAACAGACCUUAGGAAUUUAGUAGCUCUUUCC